This 1372-nucleotide ribosomal RNA is filed under the name uncultured bacterium. Its description in RNAcentral is "bacterial SSU rRNA". It matches the Rfam family "Bacterial small subunit ribosomal RNA", at positions 28 to 1381 of the family's 1533-position model. The record is from RNAcentral.
GAUGAACGCUGGCGGCGUGCCUAAUACAUGCAAGUCGAGCGAACGGACGAGAAGCUUGCUUCUCUGAUGUUAGCGGCGGACGGGUGAGUAACACGUGGAUAACCUACCUAUAAGACUGGGAUAACUUCGGGAAACCGGAGCUAAUACCGGAUAAUAUUUUGAACCGCAUGGUUCAAAAGUGAAAGACGGUCUUGCUGUCACUUAUAGAUGGAUCCGCGCUGCAUUAGCUAGUUGGUAAGGUAACGGCUUACCAAGGCAACGAUGCAUAGCCGACCUGAGAGGGUGAUCGGCCACACUGGAACUGAGACACGGUCCAGACUCCUACGGGAGGCAGCAGUAGGGAAUCUUCCGCAAUGGGCGAAAGCCUGACGGAGCAACGCCGCGUGAGUGAUGAAGGUCUUCGGAUCGUAAAACUCUGUUAUUAGGGAAGAACAUAUGUGUAAGUAACUGUGCACAUCUUGACGGUACCUAAUCAGAAAGCCACGGCUAACUACGUGCCAGCAGCCGCGGUAAUACGUAGGUGGCAAGCGUUAUCCGGAAUUAUUGGGCGUAAAGCGCGCGUAGGCGGUUUUUUAAGUCUGAUGUGAAAGCCCACGGCUCAACCGUGGAGGGUCAUUGGAAACUGGAAAACUUGAGUGCAGAAGAGGAAAGUGGAAUUCCCUGUGUAGCGGUGAAAUGCGCAGAGAUAUGGAGGAACACCAGUGGCGAAGGCGACUUUCUGGUCUGUAACUGACGCUGAUGUGCGAAAGCGUGGGGAUCAAACAGGAUUAGAUACCCUGGUAGUCCACGCCGUAAACGAUGAGUGCUAAGUGUUAGGGGGUUUCCGCCCCUUAGUGCUGCAGCUAACGCAUUAAGCACUCCGCCUGGGGAGUACGCCCGCAAGGUUGAAACUCAAAGGAAUUGACGGGGACCCGCACAAGCGGUGGAGCAUGUGGUUUAAUUCGAAGCAACGCGAAGAACCUUACCAAAUCUUGACAUCCUUUGACAACUCUAGAGAUAGAGCCUUCCCCUUCGGGGGACAAAGUGACAGGUGGUGCAUGGUUGUCGUCAGCUCGUGUCGUGAGAUGUUGGGUUAAGUCCCGCAACGAGCGCAACCCUUAAGCUUAGUUGCCAUCAUUAAGUUGGGCACUCUAAGUUGACUGCCGGUGACAAACCGGAGGAAGGUGGGGAUGACGUCAAAUCAUCAUGCCCCUUAUGAUUUGGGCUACACACGUGCUACAAUGGACAAUACAAAGGGCAGCGAAACCGCGAGGUCAAGCAAAUCCCAUAAAGUUGUUCUCAGUUCGGAUUGUAGUCUGCAACUCGACUACAUGAAGCUGGAAUCGCUAGUAAUCGUAGAUCAGCAUGCUACGGUGAAUACGUUCCCGGGUCU